GUUAAAAAGCUCGUAGUUGGAUUUCUGUCGAGGGCGGGCGGUCCGCACUAUGUGCGUGUAUCUUGUUCGGUCUUGGCAUCCUCUUGGGGAAUGCUUCUGUGCUUGAUUGCAUGGGGUGGAAUUCAAGACUUUUACUUUGAGGAAAUUAGAGUGUUCACGGCAAGCUACCGCUUUGAAUA
Molecule: ribosomal RNA, 179 nt
Filed under: uncultured eukaryote
Lineage: Eukaryota
Description: partial 18S ribosomal RNA
Source: RNAcentral